Molecule: ribosomal RNA, 732 nt
Filed under: uncultured bacterium
Lineage: Bacteria
Description: bacterial SSU rRNA
Rfam family: Bacterial small subunit ribosomal RNA
Source: RNAcentral
ACACAUGCAAGUCGAGGGGCAGCGGGAUUGAAGCUUGCUUCAAUCGCCGGCGACCGGCGCACGGGUGAGUAACGCGUAUCCAACCUUCCGUACACUCAGGGAUAGCCUUUCGAAAGAAAGAUUAAUACCUGAUGGUAUCUUAAGCACACAUGUAAUUAAGAUUAAAGAUUUAUCGGUGUACGAUGGGGAUGCGUUCCAUUAGGUAGUAGGCGGGGUAACGGCCCACCUAGCCUACGAUGGAUAGGGGUUCUGAGAGGAAGGUCCCCCACAUUGGAACUGAGACACGGUCCAAACUCCUACGGGAGGCAGCAGUGAGGAAUAUUGGUCAAUGGACGAGAGUCUGAACCAGCCAAGUAGCGUGAAGGAUGAAGGUCCUACGGAUUGUAAACUUCUUUUAUAAGGGAAUAAACCCUCCCACGUGUGGGAGCUUGUAUGUACCUUAUGAAUAAGCAUCGGCUAACUCCGUGCCAGCAGCCGCGGUAAUACGGAGGAUGCGAGCGUUAUCCGGAUUUAUUGGGUUUAAAGGGAGCGCAGACGGGUCGUUAAGUCAGCUGUGAAAGUUUGGGGCUCAACCUUAAAAUUGCAGUUGAUACUGGCGUCCUUGAGUGCGGUUGAGGUGUGCGGAAUUCGUGGUGUAGCGGUGAAAUGCUUAGAUACCACGAAGAACUCCGAUUGCGAAGGCAGCACACUAAGCCGUAACUGACGUUCAUGCUCGAAAGUGUGGGUAUCAAA